RNAcentral lists this ribosomal RNA (276 nucleotides) under uncultured Lachnospiraceae bacterium. RNAcentral describes it as "partial 16S ribosomal RNA". The stretch from base 38 to 276 matches the Rfam family "Bacterial small subunit ribosomal RNA", at positions 100 to 339 of the family's 1533-position model. The record is from RNAcentral. Lineage: Bacteria; Bacillati; Bacillota; Clostridia; Lachnospirales; Lachnospiraceae.
AUUUCCUUCGGGACUGAUUAUUUUGUGACUGAGCGGCGGACGGGUGAGUAACGCGUGGGUGACCUGCCCCAUACCGGGGGAUAACAGCUGGAAACGGCUGCUAAUACCGCAUAAGCGCACAGGAUCGCAUGAUCCGGUGUGAAAAACUCCGGUGGUAUGAGAUGGACCCGCGUCUGAUUAGCCAGUUGGCAGGGUAACGGCCCACCAAGGCGACGAUCCAUAGCCGACCUGAGAGGGUGACCGGCCACAUUGGGACUGAGACACGGCCCAAACUCC